AACGGCCAUAUCACGUUCAGACACAGGUUCUCGGCAGAUCACUGAAAUUAAGCAACGUCGAGCCCGAUCAGUACUUAGGUGGGUGACCACUUGGGAAUACCGGAUGCUGUAAG
Molecule: non-coding RNA, 113 nt
Organism: Acanthosepion pharaonis
Lineage: Eukaryota; Metazoa; Mollusca; Cephalopoda; Sepiida; Sepiidae
Source: the annotation of a GenBank genome assembly